This 446-nucleotide ribosomal RNA is filed under the name uncultured bacterium. RNAcentral's name for it is "SSU rRNA". It matches the Rfam family "Bacterial small subunit ribosomal RNA", at positions 26 to 518 of the family's 1533-position model. The record is from RNAcentral.
AGAGCGAACGCUGGCGGCAGGCCUAACACAUGCAAGUCGAACGGAUCCUUCGGGAUUAGUGGCGGACGGGUGAGUAACACGUGGGAACGUACCCUUUGGUUCGGAACAACUCAGGGAAACUUGAGCUAAUACCGAAUGUGCCCUUCGGGGAAAAGAUUUAUCGCCAUUGGAGCGGCCCGCGUCUGAUUAGCUAGUUGGUAGGGUAAAGGCCUACCAAGGCUACGAUCAGUAGCUGGUCUGAGAGGAUGAUCAGCCACACUGGGACUGAGACACGGCCCAGACUCCUACGGGAGGCAGCAGUAGGGAAUCUUGCGCAAUGGGCGAAAGCCUGACGCAGCCACGCCGCGUGAAUGAUGAAGGUCUUAGGAUUGUAAAAUUCUUUCAGCGGGGACGAUAAUGACGGUACCCGCAGAAGAAGCCCCGGCUAACUUCGUGCCAGCAGCCGC